Molecule: long non-coding RNA, 872 nt
Organism: Hemiscyllium ocellatum (epaulette shark)
Lineage: Eukaryota; Metazoa; Chordata; Chondrichthyes; Orectolobiformes; Hemiscylliidae
Exons: 5
Source: RefSeq, a predicted model, not a curated record
GCGAGCGGGGAAGAUCAACCGACCUUCCCCCCCCCCCCCGCGCACGCUCCAGUUGCCGGGCGGUUGUGCGCCUGCGUAUAACGUACUUCUGGUGGAGCGGGAACUUUCGAGAAGGCCGAAGAAGCGGGGAGGCGGUUUGCCCGUUCAACCGGAGCAGGCCGGCCGGCCACGGCGUCCCGUGCAGCACCCAUGUUUGUGUGCAGGUGUGUGAGACAGUGAAAGACACAAGGGGCAAGAAUCUUGAUUCAGUUUCCACCGUCAGGAAGAAAAGAAACACCCGAGUGGCCAGUGGCAAGCAGUGCCCUUUUCAUCAAAGGGAGUAGGAACUUUGUUUUGUGAUGGGAGUAUGUGCAAGAGUAUGAUGGUGUAUACGAGAGGGAGUCUGCGUUGAGAAUGUGCAUAAGGUAUGAGCAGUUUUUUUUAGAAAAAGCGCGGAGCAGACCUGGAAGCUGGUGUAGCGCAAGCUACAAUAAAGGCGCGCAGGAGAAGAACCCGAGGCACUACAAAGGUAGAGCCUCCCACUCGCCGCCCUCCUCUAACCUAAUAAUAAGACCCACUGUGGUAAGAAGAAAUUUGAAGCUGCCAAUGUACUUGAACAGUGUCCAUUGUGAGAAGCCCCAAGAAGAGAUAAGCGAGACUUCAAAACAUCAUGAGACCAUGGAGGAUCAGGGGUUGACCAAAUGCCUGGCCAUCUCUUGUCAGUCAUAUGAUAAGCUAAAUUGAAUGUGAAUGUAAUUAAUAAUUGUUUGUAAAUGUUGAAGGUGGGGGGAUGAAACAAAUGUAUGUUUUCCUUUGUUCGGUGAAGGUAUCCAGAUUUUCAGAGGGUUUCUUCCUACCAGUGUAAUUUCAAUAAACUCUGAUGUUGGAAGCAA